UGUUCGAAAAGGCAAACCUGCCGAAAGGCAGGGACGCAAAAUCACAGUCUAAGGGUUGUUUCAUUGCCUACGACCGAUGGAUUACCGAA
This 89-nucleotide non-coding RNA is filed under the name Candidatus Thiodiazotropha endolucinida. Its description in RNAcentral is "c-di-GMP-I riboswitch aptamer". It matches the Rfam family "c-di-GMP-I riboswitch aptamer". Rfam says of the family: GEMM was predicted in a large-scale screen for bacterial structured RNA regulatory elements. Lineage: Bacteria; Pseudomonadati; Pseudomonadota; Gammaproteobacteria; Chromatiales; Sedimenticolaceae. The record is from Rfam by way of RNAcentral. RNAcentral also lists the same sequence under 1 other name.